GCGCAUGCGCGCGCCCCGGCGGCGCGGGUCUGGGUCUGGGUCUGGGGAUGUGGUGCCGGCUGCCGGCGACCGCCGGCAGUAGAGCGGUGGCCAGGCCGCUGGCCUUGCUCUGGCGAUGUGGUGGCCCAGGAGGUGGCAGGACGGUCAAGACCAGCGCGAGGGUCCUGGGCAGGGCCCGACAGUGGUUGUGGCCAGUGAGAAUGUGCAGUGUUGUAUUGCAGAAGAAGCUAAUAAGCUUAUCUGGUCUCUUGUUUCAGUGCCUCUAGGGGAUCCACGUUCAGAAGCUGACUCUGCAGGCGAGACCAACGUUAUUUUCCCGGUGGCUGUGUUCAAAACCACCCAAAGGUACCUGUCUUUCAUCCACCAUCAUUAGCAGCAUAAGGUUUACAGGAGCUGAGUGGCUUCCUCAGAGUGUGACUUCUACAGUGAGUGUCCAGGAGGUGAGGAUCCAGACAACUCAGGGCACACCCCACUCCACCCCGCCCCAUCCUGCCCCUU
RNAcentral lists this small RNA (498 nucleotides) under Pongo abelii (Sumatran orangutan). Its description in RNAcentral is "retained intron". The record is from RNAcentral. Lineage: Eukaryota; Metazoa; Chordata; Mammalia; Primates; Hominidae.